This is a non-coding RNA of Camelina sativa (false flax), 605 nucleotides long. The record is from RefSeq and is a predicted model, not a curated record. NCBI's taxonomy places the organism in Eukaryota, Viridiplantae, Streptophyta, Magnoliopsida, Brassicales, Brassicaceae.
AGACACCAAUGAUAACAAUCAGCAAAAGUUCUCGGAUCCAAUCUCUGCUCCGUUGUCAUGAGCUUCCCAGUUCGAGAUCCGUAAAAUGAGCAUUAAAGUAGAAAGCUGCUUUAUCAAGAUUAGGCAAAUUUGGAAGUUUGGAACUUGGUAGAGAGAGAGAGUGAGAGACUGUUGUCACUUACAGAGUUUUGAUCUUGGAAUGUCUAGUCCACCAUAUGUAUGUGUUGAAUACGAGGUAGUCUGCGUCUUUCCAGUUCUCACCGUGUUUCGAGAUUGAUUGUGGUAUGAUUACUGGUUCUGUCUUCCCGUCUCGCUUGUCUGGAGGAUCAGCAUUUGAUUCGACUAGGAAAGGUGCCCAGUAAAAUGCUAUGGUUGUAUUGUACUCCUCCUACACAUUCAUUCAAAUUACUAGAGAAGAAAGGUGGAAACUGACCUUGGCAAAGAGCAAUCUCGAGGUUGCCAUCUCCAUUUCUGGUACUUAGAGUCUGGCCUCCCGUUUCUCGUACAUGCCACCCAUUCUGAGAGAAACUCACAUUCAUCUUCUUUGUAUAAAGGAUGUGUAACGUUAUCAAGAACCCAUUUACCUGUGAAAACAUCACAGAUGU